Molecule: transfer RNA, 57 nt
Filed under: Canis lupus (wolf)
Lineage: Eukaryota; Metazoa; Chordata; Mammalia; Carnivora; Canidae
Description: partial tRNA-Tyr
Rfam family: tRNA
About the family: Transfer RNA (tRNA) molecules are approximately 80 nucleotides in length. Their secondary structure includes four short double-helical elements and three loops (D, anti-codon, and T loops).
Source: RNAcentral
GGUAAAAUGGCUGAUAAAAGCAUUAGACUGUAAAUCUAAAGAUAGAGGUUUAAGUCC